Molecule: ribosomal RNA, 492 nt
Filed under: uncultured bacterium
Lineage: Bacteria
Description: partial 16S ribosomal RNA
Rfam family: Bacterial small subunit ribosomal RNA
Source: RNAcentral
AGUGAACGCUGGCGGUAGGCCUAACACAUGCAAGUCGAACGGCAGCACAGUAAGAGCUUGCUCUUACGGGUGGCGAGUGGCGGACGGGUGAGGAAUACAUCGGAAUCUACUUUUUCGUGGGGGAUAACGUAGGGAAACUUACGCUAAUACCGCAUACGACCUACGGGUGAAAGCAGGGGAUCUUCGGACCUUGCGCGAUUGAAUGAGCCGAUGUCGGAUUAGCUAGUUGGCGGGGUAAAGGCCCACCAAGGCGACGAUCCGUAGCUGGUCUGAGAGGAUGAUCAGCCACACUGGAACUGAGACACGGUCCAGACUCCCACGGGAGGCAGCAGUGGGGAAUAUUGGACAAUGGGCGCAAGCCUGAUCCAGCCAUACCGCGUGGGUGAAGAAGGCCUUCGGGUUGUAAAGCCCUUUUGUUGGGAAAGAAAGGCAGCAGGUUAAUACCCCGCUGUUCUGACGGUACCCAAAGAAUAAGCACCGGCUAACUUCGUG